RNAcentral lists this ribosomal RNA (252 nucleotides) under uncultured bacterium. RNAcentral describes it as "partial 16S ribosomal RNA". It matches the Rfam family "Bacterial small subunit ribosomal RNA", at positions 524 to 776 of the family's 1533-position model. The record is from RNAcentral.
UACGGAGGAUGCGAACGUUAUCCGGAUUUAUUGGGUUUAAAGGGUGCGUAGGCGGAUCGUUAAGUCAGUGGUCAAAUUGAGGGGCUCAACCCCUUCCCGCCAUUGAAACUGGCGCUCUUGAGUGGAAGAGAAGUAUGCGGAAUGCGUGGUGUAGCGGUGAAAUGCAUAGAUAUCACGCGGAACCCCGAUUGCGAAGGCAGCAUGCCGGCUUCCGACUGACGCUGAAGCACGAAAGCGUGGGGAUCGAACAGG